GCGAGAGUGGCGGAAUUGGUAGACGCAACAGGUUUAGGUCUUGUCGCCGUCAGGCGUGCGAGUUCGAGUCUCGCCUUUCGCACCA
Molecule: transfer RNA, 85 nt
Filed under: Solimonas fluminis
Lineage: Bacteria; Pseudomonadati; Pseudomonadota; Gammaproteobacteria; Nevskiales; Nevskiaceae
Description: tRNA-Leu
Rfam family: tRNA
About the family: Transfer RNA (tRNA) molecules are approximately 80 nucleotides in length.
Source: RNAcentral